UACGUAGGGGGCUAGCGUUGUCCGGAAUCAUUGGGCGUAAAGAGCGCGUAGGCGGCCAGAUAAGUCCGGUGUGAAAGUCACAGGCUCAACCUGUGAAUGCCGCUGGAAACUGUCUGGCUUGAGUCCGGAAGAGGAGAGUGGAAUUCCUGGUGUAGCGGUGAAAUGCGCAGAUAUCAGGAAGAACACCCGUGGCGAAGGCGGCUCUCUGGGACGGUACUGACGCUGAGACGCGAAAGCGUGGGGAGCGAACAGG
Molecule: ribosomal RNA, 253 nt
Filed under: uncultured bacterium
Lineage: Bacteria
Description: partial 16S ribosomal RNA
Rfam family: Bacterial small subunit ribosomal RNA
Source: RNAcentral